GCGUGGGUCGGCCCGCUGCACCGAGGAAUCAGUGGGCUGGGGGACACCGCCGUCUCAUUCCCCGCGGGCGGCGGUCCGGGCCGGGAGGUGCGUCGCGCGCCUCCCGGCCCCGCA
RNAcentral lists this non-coding RNA (114 nucleotides) under Streptomyces qinglanensis. RNAcentral describes it as "Streptomyces sp. 172205 Streptomyces RNA 4115". It matches the Rfam family "Streptomyces RNA 4115". Rfam says of the family: Identified by deep sequencing of transcriptome at the end of exponential growth phase. Sequencing size consistent with notrthern blot size. Streptomyces specific. The record is from Rfam by way of RNAcentral. Lineage: Bacteria; Bacillati; Actinomycetota; Actinomycetes; Kitasatosporales; Streptomycetaceae.